GGGUUGGUUUAGUGUUAGGGUUGGGUUAGGAGCAGGGUUAGGGGUAGGGUUAGAGGUAGGGGUUACCCUACCCCUACCCUAACCCUACCACUACCCUAACGCUACCUCUAACCCUACUCCAACCACUAACCCUAACCCUACCACAAUCCCUAACACUACCUCUACCC
Pelobates cultripes (western spadefoot toad) is the source of this 167-nucleotide non-coding RNA. NCBI's taxonomy places the organism in Eukaryota, Metazoa, Chordata, Amphibia, Anura, Pelobatidae. The record is from the annotation of a GenBank genome assembly.